CAAUAGCGUAUAUUAAAGUUGUUGCAGUUAAAAAGCUCGUAGUUGGAUUUCGGGGUGGCCUGGCUGGUCCGCCGCAAGGUGAGUACUGGUCAGCCGCCCUUCCUCUCGAAAGCCCCGACUGCCCUUUACUGCAGUGGUCGGGUAGUUCGGGACGUUUACUUUGAAAAAAUUAGAGUGUUCAAGGCAGGCUAUCGCCUGAAUACAUUAGCAUGGAAUAAUGGAAGAGGACCUCGGUCCUAUUUUGUUGGUUUCUAGGGCCGAAGUAAUGAUUAAGAGGGACAGUUGGGGGCAUUCGUAUUUAAUUGUCAGAGGUGAAAUUCUUGGAUUUAUGAAAGACGAACUAGUGCGAAAGCAUUUGCCAAGGAUGUUUUCAUUAA
This 377-nucleotide ribosomal RNA is filed under the name uncultured eukaryote. Its description in RNAcentral is "partial 18S ribosomal RNA". It matches the Rfam family "Eukaryotic small subunit ribosomal RNA", at positions 592 to 976 of the family's 1831-position model. The record is from RNAcentral.